RNAcentral lists this antisense RNA (75 nucleotides) under Mycobacterium sp. 1423905.2. RNAcentral describes it as "ASpks TB sRNA". It matches the Rfam family "ASpks TB sRNA". Lineage: Bacteria; Bacillati; Actinomycetota; Actinomycetes; Mycobacteriales; Mycobacteriaceae. The record is from Rfam by way of RNAcentral.
UUUGAUCGACCCCAACCACAACGGCCGAUCGGCCGGGCGGCCCCGCCCGUAGGUGGCCAACAAAGCUUGCGCCUC